This 484-nucleotide ribosomal RNA is filed under the name uncultured bacterium. RNAcentral's name for it is "partial 16S ribosomal RNA". It matches the Rfam family "Bacterial small subunit ribosomal RNA", at positions 30 to 507 of the family's 1533-position model. The record is from RNAcentral.
AUUGAACGCUGGCGGCAGGCCUAACACAUGCCAGUCGAGCGGAUGAAGGGAGCUUGCUCCUGGAUUCAGCGGCGGACGGGUGAGUAAUGCCUAGGAAUCUGCCUGGUAGUGGGGGAUAACGUCCGGAAACGGGCGCUAAUACCGCAUACGUCCUGAGGGAGAAAGUGGGGGAUCUUCGGACCUCACGCUAUCAGAUGAGCCUAGGUCGGAUUAGCUAGUUGGUGGGGUAAAGGCCUACCAAGGCGACGAUCCGUAACUGGUCUGAGAGGAUGAUCAGUCACACUGGAACUGAGACACGGUCCAGACUCCUACGGGAGGCAGCAGUGGGGAAUAUUGGACAAUGGGCGAAAGCCUGAUCCAGCCAUGCCGCGCGUGUGAAGAAGGUCUUCGGAUUGUAAAGCACUUUAAGUUGGGAGGAAGGGCAGUAAGUUAAUACCUUGCUGUUUUGACGUUACCAACAGAAUAAGCACCGGCUAACUUCGUG